GUUGUUAUGGCAUUGCCGACGGAUAAGGCUCCUGGACCGGACGGAUUCACCACUGAUUUCUUCAAAAAGUGUUGGGCCACGAUCAAGGGGGACCUUAUGAGGGCCAUUCACCAAUUUUAUGGGCUCAGGGCGAAUCGACUACACCUGCUUAACUCAGCACACAUCACCCUCCUGCCAAAAUCUGAAUCCGCUUUCAAGGUGAAGGAUUUCCGGCCUAUAAGUCUCAUGCACUCUGUUUCUAAAAUCAUCUGUAAGGCCCUGGCCAUCAGACUUGCCCCACACCUACAAGAAAUCAUUCCCCACUCGCAGAGUGCUUUCAUUAAAAAGAUGAACAUCCAA
RNAcentral lists this ribosomal RNA (339 nucleotides) under Triticum aestivum (bread wheat). RNAcentral's name for it is "partial small subunit ribosomal RNA". The record is from RNAcentral. Lineage: Eukaryota; Viridiplantae; Streptophyta; Magnoliopsida; Poales; Poaceae.